UUCAGCUGCUUAAUUUAUGGUUUAAUAACUAAUUACUGCGAAGCAGAGGGAGGGAACACACGAGCAAAGUUAAUGGUGAUUAUAAAGUGGUUAGGUUCUUGUUGUGUUCUGCUAAUUAACCGACAGUUUGGACGGAUUUUCUUAUGAAAAAUUUUGGUCACAUCCUUUUCAAUGAAUUAAAAUGUUAAAGAGAGAGAGAGAGUUCGUUUUUCUAUGAAUAUUGUAAGUGACGGGUGAUGGGUAAGGGGGUGGUACUGCCUAGGCGAGAGUCUUCGACGUCUAUGCCAAUGCCAAAGAAUAGGUAAAUGAAGUUGAUGUCGGGAGGCGGGGUCACCUAAAGGACUCAUGGCGAGCAUGGACACAAACUUGGACCACAACUCUACAUGGUCCACACUGCAAAUUUGAAGCGUGCAUGGAGAGAAAAAGAAAAAGCUGCUAGGGAUCUCAUGGAAACUCAUCUUGGGAUCGCCAAUCAUAGAUCUUUUGUCAUUUACUACCAAAGCAAAAGUAGCCAAAAACAAAGUGGACCACGCCAAGUUGCAGGGAGGGCAGGCUGAUUCCAUUGACAACUUUUACGCGGUUUUGCUAAAAUUUGAAAAUUGUUCAAAGGGGGUUAGUUCGACUUAGUUUAAGAAUGGUGGAUGAAUUAAUGGAUGACACACUUGCUGCCUUCUCAUUUGUUAGCAAGCCUCCCAAAGAAUUGUCAAUUUCUCUCCUGAAAGCUGCUGUCGCUUAUUGCAGCAGCAUUGUCUGAGCCUUUUGAAGAUAAAAACAAUGGCGAUAUCUUGUUUUC
This is a long non-coding RNA of Theobroma cacao (cacao), 793 nucleotides long. RefSeq lists it as uncharacterized. The record is from RefSeq and is a predicted model, not a curated record. Lineage: Eukaryota; Viridiplantae; Streptophyta; Magnoliopsida; Malvales; Malvaceae.